Molecule: ribosomal RNA, 492 nt
Filed under: uncultured bacterium
Lineage: Bacteria
Description: partial 16S ribosomal RNA
Rfam family: Bacterial small subunit ribosomal RNA
Source: RNAcentral
AGUGAACGCUGGCGGCAGGCCUAACACAUGCAAGUCGAACGGCAGCACAGUAAGAGCUUGCUCUUACGGGUGGCGAGUGGCGGACGGGUGAGGAAUACAUCGGAAUCUACUUUUUCGUGGGGGAUAACGUAGGGAAACUUACGCUAAUACCGCAUACGACCUACGGGUGAAAGCAGUGGAUCUUCGGACCUUGCGCGAUUGAAUGAGCCGAUGUCGGAUUAGCUAGUUGGCGUGGUAAAGGCCCACCAAGGCGACGAUCCGUAGCUGGUCUGAGAGGAUGAUCAGCCACACUGGAACUGAGACACGGUCCAGACUCCUACGGGAGGCAGCAGUGGGGAAUAUUGGACAAUGGGCGAAAGCCUGAUCCAGCCAUACCGCGUGGGUGAAGAAGGCCUUCGGGUUGUAAAGCCCUUUUGUUGGGAAAGAAAAGCAGCAGGUUAAUACCCCGCUGUUCUGACGGUACCCAAAGAAUAAGCACCGGCUAACUUCGUG